Long non-coding RNA from Salvia miltiorrhiza (redroot sage), 544 nucleotides. RefSeq lists it as uncharacterized. The transcript is spliced from 2 exons. NCBI's taxonomy places the organism in Eukaryota, Viridiplantae, Streptophyta, Magnoliopsida, Lamiales, Lamiaceae. The record is from RefSeq and is a predicted model, not a curated record.
AGUUAUGUUGAAUAUUGUGCUAGAUGCGCCAUCUGCUGUAUCAAGAAGAAUGUCUAUCACCGUCUUUGCUCUGGAAUGGGACUUUGAAUUACCUCCAAAAGCCAGGCCACAGGCCGUUCUGAAAUGAUACGAACAGGAGUUCCAUUGCAGCUUCAUUUGUGAUAAAGAGUCACUUGAUUUGCCUAUUACUUACACUGCUAGGAGCGUACAAAAACUAGCCAAAAGAAGAGGCUGUAGAUGAUACUGCUCAUAACACGAUGGUUUGUUCUUGCGCUUUCUGCCCCUCUUGCAGCAACCAGUUCUUUCUAGAAGAAGUAUUCCAUAUCCUAGACCGCAUAGGAGCCAUAUUAGUGCAAUGGCAUACCCGGGUAUGCCUGUAAAUACUGUUGACUGCACAAGAGAGCGAAUGCUGCAACUUAUCACAUGAACAUGCAAGUUAUCUACAUGCUGUGAAUUUUCAGUUUCUGUUAAAGAUUUAAGGAGUGGGAGCAAUAGCUGUACCGAUACUUACACUCCAGUAAUGGUCAUUUGUUACGUUAUAUCC